Molecule: long non-coding RNA, 132 nt
Organism: Telopea speciosissima
Lineage: Eukaryota; Viridiplantae; Streptophyta; Magnoliopsida; Proteales; Proteaceae
Exons: 4
Source: RefSeq, a predicted model, not a curated record
GGUUCGUAAGAGCAUUAAAAUCUUUAUAAUGGAAUAUCUGAAACUAGCAUCUAAACAUUACAGUAGUUACUGGCCCAAAAUUUUGGCAACUUGGUCUUGACUUGAUUAAUUUGUGUCAAAGUGGAUGGCAUU